AUGAACGCUAGCGGCAGGCUUAACACAUGCAAGUCGAGGGGUAUUUAUCUUCGGAUAGAGAGACCGGCGCACGGGUGCGUAACGCGUAUGCAAUCUACCUUUUACAGAGGGAUAGCCCAGAGAAAUUUGGAUUAAUACCUCAUAGUAUAUAGACUCGGCAUCGAGAUUAUAUUAAAGUCACAACGGUAAAAGAUGAGCAUGCGUCCCAUUAGCUAGUUGGUAAGGUAACGGCUUACCAAGGCUACGAUGGGUAGGGGUCCUGAGAGGGAGAUCCCCCACACUGGUACUGAGACACGGACCAGACUCCUACGGGAGGCAGCAGUGAGGAAUAUUGGACAAUGGGCGCAAGCCUGAUCCAGCCAUGCCGCGUGCAGGAUGACGGUCCUAUGGAUGGUAAACUGCUUUUAUACGAGAAGAAACACUGCUACGUGUAGCAGCUUGACGGUAUCGUAAGAAUAAGGAUCGGCUAACUCCGUG
RNAcentral lists this ribosomal RNA (477 nucleotides) under uncultured bacterium. RNAcentral describes it as "partial 16S ribosomal RNA". It matches the Rfam family "Bacterial small subunit ribosomal RNA", at positions 29 to 507 of the family's 1533-position model. The record is from RNAcentral.